Molecule: ribosomal RNA, 253 nt
Filed under: uncultured bacterium
Lineage: Bacteria
Description: partial 16S ribosomal RNA
Rfam family: Bacterial small subunit ribosomal RNA
Source: RNAcentral
UACGUAGGGGGCAAGCGUUGUCCGGAAUCAUUGGGCGUAAAGAGCGCGUAGGCGGCCCGAUAAGUCCGCUGUGAAAGUCAAGGGCUCAACCCUUGAAUGCCGGUGGAUACUGUCGGGCUAGAGUCCGGAAGAGGCGAGUGGAAUUCCUGGUGUAGCGGUGAAAUGCGCAGAUAUCAGGAGGAACACCAAUGGCGAAGGCAGCUCGCUGGGACGGUACUGACGCUGAGGCGCGAAGGCGUGGGGAGCAAACAGG